AAGAUUAACUUGUCCUCAGGAACCCAGUGCCCCUGGCCUGCCAUGGAGAAAGAGCAAAUUUAUGAGAACCUUCACGAGCUGCUCUUCUCUAUGCUGAGGAACUGGCAGGACUGCCAGGAGGAGGAAGACAAACAGGCCGUCCUUGGGGCUAUGGCUGCCAUUCUGGAUGUUCUCCUGCAAGAGGAGCUGCACCAAGAGCACGUCUGGGAGCAGCUCCUUUGGCUUGUGCACCCAUGUCAGGAGAUCCAAGACAUCUGCAGGGUGGCCAAGGUGAGACGUUGUGCAUGGCUCAGGGUGGACAUGGGGCCUGUGCAAGUGCCACGAGGGGUCAGGGGGAUGCAGGGAGGAAGUGGGGAGCUCUUGGAGAAAGAUGAAACAGGUGUUCAAGGGAGGUCUGAGGCUUCCUGAGCUCUUCAGUCAAAGAAGAAAUGACCCGGACAGGAGCCAGGAGGGAGCCAAGAGUCCCUGGGGCUCAUCUCCUGGGGAUGGGAGGCCCCAGCACCACCACUGUGGGGCUCUGAGUGCCUGAGGAGCUCUGUGCUAACGACUGGGAGGACCACAUCCAGUUGCAUCUGAUGGGGGAGAAGAGGGCUGCUGGGUGGGAAAUGCCUGCAAAUGGUGCCCAAACACAGCUCGAUUGAGAGCAGAGACUCUCUUGGUGCUGCUGGGAGGUGGGGGGAUAAACAAGAAUCCCUAGCAGGAGCUUUUCCCUGCAGAGAAACAAUUGGGAAACAGUUUUUCCACUCCCAAGUGGCUAGAUGUGGCUUCAUCCCUUUCUUCCUCUCCUGGUCUCUCACAGAGCCUCACUCUCUUCCUGGAGGCCUUAGAGGGCACUGAGUCUGUCAUCCCAAGGGACAAGUUUCUGGACAUCACCAGUGCCGUGUUCUACCAGCUCUAUGACGACAGCAAGCAGCACAGCGAGGCUGAUCGUGCACAGCUGACCCACUGCAUCAUGCUGCAGGCCCGGAUCUGCCCAGAA
Molecule: non-coding RNA, 979 nt
Organism: Meleagris gallopavo (turkey)
Lineage: Eukaryota; Metazoa; Chordata; Aves; Galliformes; Phasianidae
Source: RefSeq, a predicted model, not a curated record